UAGGGAAUCUUCUUGCAAUGGACGGAAGUCUGACCGAGCAACGCCGCGUGAGUGAAGAAGGUUUUCGGAUCGUAAAGCUCUGUUGUAAGAGAAGAACGAGUGUGAGAGUGGAAAGUUCACACUGUGACGGUAUCUUACCAGAAAGGGACGGCUAACUACGUGCCAGCAGCCGCGGUAAUACGUAGGUCCCGAGCGUUGUCCGGAUUUAUUGGGCGUAAAGCGAGCGCAGGCGGUUAGAUAAGUCUGAAGUUAAAGGCUGUGGCUUAACCAUAGUACGCUUUGGAAACUGUUUAACUUGAGUGCAAGAGGGGAGAGUGGAAUUCCAUGUGUAGCGGUGAAAUGCGUAGAUAUAUGGAGGAACACCGGUGGCGAAAGCGGCUCUCUGGCUUGUAACUGACGCUGAGGCUCGAAAGCGUGGGGAGCAAACAGGAUUAGAUACCCUGGUAAUCCACGCCGUAAACGAUGAGUGCUAGGUGUUAGACCCUUUCCGGGGUUUAGUGCCGCAGCUAACGCAUUAAGCACUCCGCCUGGGGAGUACGACCGCAAGGUUG
RNAcentral lists this ribosomal RNA (551 nucleotides) under uncultured bacterium. RNAcentral's name for it is "bacterial SSU rRNA". It matches the Rfam family "Bacterial small subunit ribosomal RNA", at positions 355 to 896 of the family's 1533-position model. The record is from RNAcentral.